ACUUAAAUAGUUUAUAUAAAAUUUUAGUUUGUGGAUCUAGAGAUGUAAUUUUUACUUUAAGUA
RNAcentral lists this transfer RNA (63 nucleotides) under Curculio sp. SZ-2019. RNAcentral's name for it is "tRNA-His". The record is from RNAcentral. Lineage: Eukaryota; Metazoa; Arthropoda; Insecta; Coleoptera; Curculionidae.